RNAcentral lists this ribosomal RNA (497 nucleotides) under uncultured bacterium. RNAcentral describes it as "partial 16S ribosomal RNA". It matches the Rfam family "Bacterial small subunit ribosomal RNA", at positions 28 to 507 of the family's 1533-position model. The record is from RNAcentral.
GAUGAACGCUGGCGGCGUGCCUAAUACAUGCAAGUCGAGCGAACGGACGAGAAGCUUGCUUCUCUGAUAUUAGCGGCGGACGGGCGAGUAACACGUGGAUAACCUACCUAUAAGACUGGGAUAACUUCGGGAAACCGGAGCUAAUACCGGAUGAUAUUUUGAACCGCAUGGUUCAAAAGUGAAAGACGGUCUUGCUGUCACUUAUAGAUGGAUCCGCGCUGCAUUAGCUAGUUGGCAAGGUAACGGCUUACCAAGGCAACGAUGCAUAGCCGACCUGAGAGGGUGAUCGGCCACACUGGAACUGAGACACGGUCCAGACUCCUACGGGAGGCAGCAGUAGGGAAUCUUCCGCAAUGGGCGAAAGCCUGACGGAGCAACGCCGCGUGAGUGAUGAAGGUCUUCGGAUCGUAAAACUCUGUUAUUAGGGAAGAACAUAUGUGUAAGUAACUGUGCACAUCUUGACGGUACCUAAUCAGAAAGCCACGGCUAACUACGUG